Molecule: small RNA, 134 nt
Filed under: Salmonella enterica subsp. enterica serovar Infantis
Lineage: Bacteria; Pseudomonadati; Pseudomonadota; Gammaproteobacteria; Enterobacterales; Enterobacteriaceae
Also listed under: 24 other names
Description: RtT sRNA
Rfam family: RtT RNA
About the family: This family represents a bacterial cis-regulatory element known as RtT RNA.
Source: RNAcentral
UGUAUCUGAAGUCUGAUGAGGAUGAGAACCUCCGGGGGCAAGAGGUUCGACUCGAGCGAAGCGAGAGAACGUUGCGUCAGCAACGGCCCGCAGGGCGAGCCACGCAGUGGCGAGUCAUCCUCUAUCACCGACCA